GAAACUAUUGAAUGGGUUCCUAUGAGAAGUUGAAGAAAAGUUAUGGAUAAUGAAAACAACGCUCCUUCGUUAUUAAAGUCGAUUGAGCACUAUGAUCCUAUAUUUUUCGAAUUGUUCGUCGACCAAAAACAGUUAUGGAUCAUGAAAACAACGCUCCUUCGUUGUUAAAGUUGA
Long non-coding RNA from Helianthus annuus (common sunflower), 174 nucleotides. RefSeq lists it as uncharacterized. NCBI's taxonomy places the organism in Eukaryota, Viridiplantae, Streptophyta, Magnoliopsida, Asterales, Asteraceae. The record is from RefSeq and is a predicted model, not a curated record. The transcript is spliced from 3 exons.